UCUUCCUAAAUGAUCUGAUAGGUGGCCAACCCACAACCUGUGCCUUGGUAGCAGGGGCACUACUGUUGUUGUUUGCAGAAGUAUUGUGAUUCGUUCUGGUAUCAUUUGUUCCAUAAGGCCUCUCCUGUGGUGCCUUUGAGGCAACUAUGUCUUUCACUUUAGCUGCCUGAGGCCCAAAUUUCUCAAGCGCAGAACCAGGUUUCAAUCCCAUGUUUGGAGCGGGCUUAGGUGACAGCAUGACAUUAACCUCUGAAUUUGAAAGAAAUUUACCCUCUAAGAACCCAUCCAUAGCAUCAGAGAACCCUCUUUUGUUACGCAAAACAACAUUUUUCUGCGCUGAAGAGCAGUGACCAUCAUUAGAGGGGUGCAAGGGGAAGAAGGGCUUCUCAUCAAGUUGUGUAGAGCUCAACAGGCAAAGCUCAGAAUUCCUUUCAGGUGAUUGAGACCCUGGAAGCCCAAGUCGCAAUUCUGUAGCCUUCAGAUUCACACGAGUCUUGCUCUCAUCAGAUGCAGCAGGAACUACUGAACUGUCUACAGAUGAACAAUCUGACAAUCCCAUAUAGUUUCGCUCUUU
Molecule: unclassified non-coding RNA, 574 nt
Filed under: Hevea brasiliensis (rubber tree)
Lineage: Eukaryota; Viridiplantae; Streptophyta; Magnoliopsida; Malpighiales; Euphorbiaceae
Source: RNAcentral